This 253-nucleotide ribosomal RNA is filed under the name uncultured bacterium. RNAcentral's name for it is "partial 16S ribosomal RNA". It matches the Rfam family "Bacterial small subunit ribosomal RNA", at positions 524 to 776 of the family's 1533-position model. The record is from RNAcentral.
UACGAAGGGGGCUAGCGUUGCUCGGAAUCACUGGGCGUAAAGGGUGCGUAGGCGGGUCUUUAAGGUUGGGGUGAAAUCCUGGAGCUCAACUCCAGAACUGCCUUUGAUACUGAAGAUCUUGAGUCCGGGAGAGGUGAGUGGAACUGCGAGUGUAGAGGUGAAAUUCGUAGAUAUUCGCAAGAACACCAGUGGCGAAGGCGGCUCACUGGCCCGGUACUGACACUGAGGAGCGAAAGCCAGGGGAGCAAACGGG